AUUUAUAUAGUAUAUAUAAGUACAAUUAAUUUCCAAUUAAUUAGAUUAAAUUAAUUAAUAUAAAUA
This 66-nucleotide transfer RNA is filed under the name Pimpla luctuosa. Its description in RNAcentral is "tRNA-Gly". Lineage: Eukaryota; Metazoa; Arthropoda; Insecta; Hymenoptera; Ichneumonidae. The record is from RNAcentral.